RNAcentral lists this long non-coding RNA (1401 nucleotides) under Citrus maxima (pomelo). RNAcentral's name for it is "long non-coding RNA (CMAX_LNC000480)". Lineage: Eukaryota; Viridiplantae; Streptophyta; Magnoliopsida; Sapindales; Rutaceae. The record is from RNAcentral.
AGAUCAACUAGCAGUUGAUUCCUUGGUGUGACCGGCAGAACGUAAUACAUAUUACAAGUAAAACACGGGUCAACCUUACAUAGCUGUGACUAAAAACAUCGUGAUACAGAGAAAUUAGGAUGCCUUCAUAUUCACGCAAAAAGACUUGUAAAAGUUGGGAAAAAGACUUAGACCGAUAAUUCCAGGAAAAGCAAGCUCUUAGUCUCAAAGCCAACAAUCACCUCACAGUGCUCGCAUAGUCGUAUGCAUCACAUUGAAUUCCAAGGAAAAUGAAACUGCUUGACUGGAAAGUAUGCCUAUAAAUAUUUACUACAUUACCCACGCUUAGUCUUUGUCAAACUCUGUUGCCCCUCCCAUCUGUAUGCUGUGUCUUGUGAUGCAACUGAGUAAUACUUCAGACCCUUCCAAAGAUCUGCAAAGAACUAAACAGCAAAAGAACUAAAUGUUGGGAAUGUUAAAUUUUGGAAACAUGCUAAAGCAAAUGAGAUUAAUAUCAUGCAUUAGCCCUGGAAAAACAGACACGAUGCCUAGAGGACUCCAUUCUAGUAUUCCCUUUAACAUGACCAAGGAAACACAUGAAAACCUAUUCACAUGGACAAUAUCAUGAUGCAAAAUAUAUGUUAAGAUGAUUAGCAGAUAGUGGAAAGGAAUUAGCUAAUUACCAAAUAAUCAUAGUUAUUGACUAGACAGUCUGAAGUUACCAUUCAUAUCAUAUGACUACCAAUAAGUAAAUCAAGACUUUCUAACAAAGUCAAUGAAAGAAAGAUUCUGUCAUGUUUCCGUUAGUUCCAAAAUAAAAAUCAUAAAAAAACUUGCAAAGAAAGUCAUGACCACCUUAUAGAUCACGAGAAAGACUAAAGCGUCUUACUUUUCUGUUACCUGUGGAACAUUACUGGUGAUAAUUCAAGUUAUCCUUCUGCUUUACAUCUGAAGAAGGAAUCUCUUCACACAAUGGCCUCUUUCCUAGAACAUUAUCUCUGGUUCUCGCUUCUUCUACUGAUGCCAAUUUCCGCCACCGCUCAAAAUGUAUCUAGAGGUGAAUCCCUCAUGGCAGGGGAUGAUAUGUCAUCUUGGAAAUCAACAUCUGGUGAAUUUGCAUUUGGUUUCCAGCACAUAGAAAAUGGGAACUACUUGCUCACCAUCUAUUUCAACAAAAUACCUGAAAGAACCAUCAUCUGGUCAGCCAAUGGAAAAACUCCAGUGCAAAGAGGGUCCAAAGUUCAGCUCACUGUAGAUGGUCGAUUAGUGCUCACUGACCUAACAGGCAAAGAGGUGUGGAAUCCUGAUACAGCUGGUGCUGCAGUUGCCUAUGCAUCCAUGCUUGAUAGUGGUAACUUUGUAUUGGCAGGCCCAGACUCUUUUCCUUUGUGGGAGAGCUUUGAUCACCCAACUGACACAUUA